GUCUACGGCCAUGCCACCCUGAACAAGCCCAAUCCCGUUUGAUCUUGGAAGCUAAGCAGGGUCGAGUCUGGUUAGUACUUGGAUAAGAGACCACCCUAGGAAGACCAAGUGCUGUAGGCA
Molecule: ribosomal RNA, 120 nt
Filed under: Pteropus vampyrus (large flying fox)
Lineage: Eukaryota; Metazoa; Chordata; Mammalia; Chiroptera; Pteropodidae
Source: RNAcentral